RNAcentral lists this ribosomal RNA (468 nucleotides) under uncultured bacterium. RNAcentral describes it as "partial 16S ribosomal RNA". It matches the Rfam family "Bacterial small subunit ribosomal RNA", at positions 28 to 507 of the family's 1533-position model. The record is from RNAcentral.
GACGGACGCUGGCGGCGUGCUUAACACAUGCAAGUCGAACGGAAAGGCCCUGCUUUUGUGGGGUGCUCGAGUGGCGAACGGGUGAGUAACACGUGAGUAACCUGCCCUUGACUUUGGGAUAACUUCAGGAAACUGGGGCUAAUACCGGAUAGGAGCUCCUGCUGCAUGGUGGGGGUUGGAAAGUUUCGGCGGUUGGGGAUGGACUCGCGGCUUAUCAGCUUGUUGGUGGGGUAGUGGCUUACCAAGGCUUUGACGGGUAGCCGGCCUGAGAGGGUGACCGGCCACAUUGGGACUGAGAUACGGCCCAGACUCCUACGGGAGGCAGCAAUGGGGAAUAUUGCACAAUGGGCGGAAGCCUGAUGCAGCAACGCCGCGUGCGGGAUGACGGCCUUCGGGUUGUAAACCGCUUUCGCCUGUGACGAAGCGUGAGUGACGGUAAUGGGUAAAGAAGCACCGGCUAACUACGUG